This 460-nucleotide ribosomal RNA is filed under the name uncultured bacterium. Its description in RNAcentral is "partial 16S ribosomal RNA". It matches the Rfam family "Bacterial small subunit ribosomal RNA", at positions 338 to 795 of the family's 1533-position model. The record is from RNAcentral.
CCUACGGGUGGCAGCAGUGAGGAAUAUUGGUCAAUGGACGAGAGUCUGAACCAGCCAAGUAGCGUGAAGGAUGACUGUCCUAUGGGUUGUAAACUUCUUUUAUAUGGGAAUACAAUGUUCAACGUGGGGGAUUUUGUCUGUACCAUAGGAAUAAGGAUCGGCUAACUCCGUGCCAGCAGCCGCGGUAAUACGGAGGUUCCGAGCGUUAUCCGGAUUUAGUGGGUUUAAAGGGAGCGUAGGUGGCUUGUUAAGUCAGUUGUGAAAGUUUGCGGCUCAACCGUAAAAUUGCAGUUGAAACUGGCAGUCGUUAGUACAGUAGAGGUGGGCGGAAUGCGUGGUGUAGCGGUGAAAUGCUUAGAUAUCACGAAGAACUCCGAUUGCGAAGGCAGCUCACUGGACUGCAACUGACACUGAGGCUCGAAAGUGUGGGUAUCAAACAGGAUUAGAUACCCGAGUAGUC